GCUUACCUUAGGCUCAGUCAGUAGAGCAUAGCGUCCCUAGCAACGCAAAAGUCAUGGGUUCAAUCCCCAGGGAAAGCA
Molecule: non-coding RNA, 78 nt
Organism: Danionella cerebrum
Lineage: Eukaryota; Metazoa; Chordata; Actinopteri; Cypriniformes; Danionidae
Source: the annotation of a GenBank genome assembly